Molecule: transfer RNA, 72 nt
Filed under: Pristiophorus japonicus
Lineage: Eukaryota; Metazoa; Chordata; Chondrichthyes; Pristiophoridae
Description: tRNA-Gln
Rfam family: tRNA
About the family: Transfer RNA (tRNA) molecules are approximately 80 nucleotides in length. Their secondary structure includes four short double-helical elements and three loops (D, anti-codon, and T loops).
Source: RNAcentral
UAGGGGGUAGUAUAGUUGGAAGCACUAAGAGUUUUGAUCUCUUCGGCACAGGUUCAAGUCCUGUUCUCCUAA